CGCGGCCUAUCAGCUUGUUGGUGGGGUAACGGCCUACCAAGGCUCCGACGGGUAGCUGGUCUGAGAGGACGACCAGCCACACUGGGACUGAGACACGGCCCAGACUCCUACGGGAGGCAGCAGUGGGGAAUCUUGCGCAAUGGGCGAAAGCCUGACGCAGCAACGCCGCGUGGGGGACGAAGGCCUUCGGGUUGUAAACCCCUUUCAGCAGGGACGAACAUGACGGUACCUGCAGAAGAAGCCCCGGCCAACUACGUGCCAGCAGCCGCGGUAAUACGUAGGGGGCGAGCGUUGUCCGGAUUUAUUGGGCGUAAAGAGCUCGUAGGCGGUUUGGCAAGUCGGGUGUGAAAACUCCGGGCUCAACUCGGAGACGCCACUCGAUACUGCCAUGACUUGAGUCCGGUAGGGGAGUGCGGAAUUCCUGGUGUAGCGGUGAAAUGCGCAGAUAUCAGGAGGAACACCGGUGGCGAAGGCGGCACUCUGGGCCGGUACUGACGCUGAGGAGCGAAAGCGUGGGGAGCGAACAGGAUUAGAUACCCUGGUAGUCCACGCCGUAAACGUUGGGCACUAGGUGUGGGGCUCGAUCGACGGGCUCCGUGCCGUAGCUAACGCAUUAAGUGCCCCGCCUGGGGAGUACGG
RNAcentral lists this ribosomal RNA (639 nucleotides) under uncultured Actinomycetes bacterium. RNAcentral's name for it is "bacterial SSU rRNA". It matches the Rfam family "Bacterial small subunit ribosomal RNA", at positions 232 to 885 of the family's 1533-position model. Lineage: Bacteria; Bacillati; Actinomycetota; Actinomycetes. The record is from RNAcentral.